Molecule: long non-coding RNA, 595 nt
Filed under: Volvox carteri
Lineage: Eukaryota; Viridiplantae; Chlorophyta; Chlorophyceae; Chlamydomonadales; Volvocaceae
Description: long non-coding RNA (VCAR_LNC003617)
Source: RNAcentral
ACCAGUAACGUAGGUAUGUACGGCAAAACAUUAGACGCACCAACCGCCAACCAGACUACCUUGCUACUUACGAUAGGCCUUGUCGAGCGGAAAGCUCCACAAGCGCCUACAAACUAAAUGAUGGUAGUCGUUGCUGGUAUACAAACCUACCCUGCCGCUUAGUUAUGAUACCUGUGUGCAGUAGUCUCUCUUCUGCAUUACAGAAGUGCGGCUUCCAGUUCCUUUGUAGCGAAUCUGUAUCGUCAAACCCUUUUAUGGCAUUCCGCAGUUCGAAUGUCCUAUUUCAGCACGUCACAACAAAGUGCCAAAGUGGCCAAACCCAACCGCUUCACCCUUCCCGGCAACUUUUGCUAUAUUCACGUUUGCAAGAUUGUGCCCUAAACAACGAUGCCAUAAGCAUGGAAAGAGGCAUUAAGAGGACGUGGGUAAGGCAACCCCCGGCAGACCAGUUCCAUGCACUUAAGGGCUUGACCAAAAUUUUCAACUAUCAUCCCCCUUCUGUUUUUGCACUUUCAGCUACGCAAAUUGGACAUGCCAACCGCAAACCGCCGUAAGUCGAUGUUAUCCAGGCGCAGUUCACCAGUUUUCAGUGCUG